RNAcentral lists this ribosomal RNA (544 nucleotides) under uncultured Glomeromycotina. RNAcentral describes it as "SSU rRNA". It matches the Rfam family "Eukaryotic small subunit ribosomal RNA", at positions 548 to 1098 of the family's 1831-position model. Lineage: Eukaryota; Fungi; Glomeromycota. The record is from RNAcentral.
UUGGAGGGCAAGUCUGGUGCCAGCAGCCGCGGUAAUUCCAGCUCCAAUAGCGUAUAUUAAAGUUGUUGCAGUUAAAAAGCUCGUAGUUGAAUUUCGGGGUUCUACCGUUGGUCGGGCUUUGUCUGUACUGGUGUGUAGAAUUUCUACCUUCUGGGGAACCAUCAUGCUAUUAAUUUAGCGUGGUGGGAAACCAGGACCUCUACCUUGAAAAAAUUAGUGUGUUCAAAGCAGGCUUAUGUCUGAAUACAUUAGCGUGGAAUAAUAGAAUAGGACGGUGGUCCUGUUUUGUUGGUUUCUGAAUCACCGUAAUGAUUAAUAGGGAUAGUUGGGGGCAUUAGUAUUCAAUUGUCGGAGGUGAAAUUCUUGGAUUUAUUGAAGACUAACUUCUGCGAAAGCAUUUGCCAAGGAUGUUUUCAUUAAUCAAGAACGAAAGUUAGGGGAUCGAAGACGAUCAGAUACCGUCGUAGUCUUAACCAUAAACUAUGCCGACUAGGGAUCGGACGAUGUUAAUUUUUCUUGACUCGUUCGGCGCCUUACGGGAAAC